AUGUCGACGGUGGAGGAGGAGCUGUCCGAGUGCGAGGUGCUGUGGCCGGAGACGCGCCACGGCGCUCCGGGGAGCGCGUGGGGGUCGUCGACGGCGGCUCCCAGGGCCUCCAGGGACCACCGGCAGUGUUCAGCGCCGGUGGACAUACCCCGUGGCCGUGGGCGUGCUGGCCUGGACGACGACGAGGAGGAGGAGGACGGCGCCAUGGUGCCGCCGCACCUGAUGGUGUCGCGCAGGUGGUCGGAGGGGAAGGCGGCGGCGGCGUUCUCGCUGCGGUCGGGGCCCGGGCGGGCGCACCGGGACCUCAACAACCUGCGCAACUCCGUGCUGCGGAUGACCGGCUUCAUCGAAGGGUGA
This 357-nucleotide ribosomal RNA is filed under the name Triticum aestivum (bread wheat). RNAcentral's name for it is "partial small subunit ribosomal RNA". Lineage: Eukaryota; Viridiplantae; Streptophyta; Magnoliopsida; Poales; Poaceae. The record is from RNAcentral.